GCGCGCGCGGGCGGGUGGCCCCGAGAACCAGGCUGCGUUCGCAAGGGAGUUCCCAACUCUGCAGCGCCGGGCGGUCGCGGCUAACCCCCUCCCCCGCCCCGGCACGGGUCAGGGUGGGGCGCCAAGCCCCCGCACGCCAGGCAGGUCCGCUGCGUUUACCGCGGCGGAGGGAGUGCUCUCAGGGGAGGCUGAUCCUGCGUGUGGUGUGGUGGUAGAGAAUCUAGCCACUCAAGAAAGUGUGAAGAAGAAAAUAAAAACCACUGGUGCAGACAGGCACGAUAGGUCCCAUUUUACACACGCAGACACAAGCUCAGAGGGGUUAGGGCACUGGCUCCUGGCGGCCCAGCGGGCUUGCACGGAUCCCAGAGCGGUCUGGAUUUAGUGUGACGCUCCCUGCGACAGGUGCAACACUCCUCUAGCUCUAGGUUCUGAACACGUGUUCUUUAAGCCAGCCACCUGGGGGCCGUGUGGCUGGGCCCGCGGCGGCGCCCACGAAGCUGGGUUCAGGUCUUGACUCUGUGACUCACCAUCUGCGUUACCUGGAGCACGUGGUUGGACUUUCAGACCUCACUCACCAGUGGAGGUCCAAGUGAAACAGUUGUAACUUGGGUUUGCUGAGCGCGAGGUCCCAACUACCGGGUGACAAAAAAGGGGAAGGGAUCUAACAUUUGUUAAACACCCAUCACUGUCUUCUAGCCAGGCACGCGACGCAUAAUAUCUCAUUUAAACCUCGCACCGCUCCGCCAGCGGCUGUUACCAGUACCCUUUUUGGCCUCAGGGAAACCGAGUUCGUGAUUGGUCGAUCCGUGCGGGGAAUGGAUCCCCGGCUCUUUGACCUCUUCACCGAAAAGAGGAAAGGGCAAGCCUCAAGGGGCCGCUGGGGCAGGCAUUACACCCGAGCUAGCCUGAGAUCUCUCUGGGGAAUGGCCUUGAGGACGUCCGGGGCUCUAACAAAUAUUGCCUCAAAGUUGGGGCUUCUUGUAAAACCCGGCGAAGGAGCUGGAGGGCCGGAGGCGAGCAGGAGGAGGAGGGGAGGCUGAUGUGGCAAUCCAGCGGGCAGGGAGAAAGGGGGAAGGAAGGUCAGGAAAUGAUUAACCGGGCCGGGCCGGGUAGUGGUUAGAGCAGGGCACCUCCCCGCAGUGCAGUCCCGGAGGAGCCCCAGGGACGCCCUCCUGGUCACUUGUCACGCCUUCGCAUUGUCCCCCUCCCCCGCUUACACACCCUCCGCCGAGACUCGGCUUCGGGCUGCUUCUGCACGCUCCUCUGCCCGGGGAUGUUCAGUCACCUGGGACAUCUCCGCAGAGAUGUCCCAGGUGACACCCCCCGCCCCGCCCCGCCGUCAUAUUUUGGAAUUAAAGCUCUUCUGUCGCUUCCCAAGGCCCGGUCUGGGGAUUUUAUGACAGUGAGGAGUUGUGCAAGGUGCUCAAAUCCUAGCUCUGUCGCCUACUUGAUGGCCAAUUUUAUCAAAUGUCUCUGGUCCUCCCAAGCCUUUUUCUUCUCCUUUUUUCAAAAUCUGGAAAAAUAAUUCUUUUCUCACAAGGAAGAUGUGAGCAUUCAUGAGAAUUGCCAACACUUAGUAGGUAGCCAAUAAUGUAUAGCUUUUUUUCCUUUUUAAUAGCCCAUGAGGGCAUAAUACCCUAGAAAGGGAAUGAAUAAACAAUAAAUCGGACCUUUGCUCGAUCUGACCUUCCAGCCCUCUCCGUUUCUUCUAACAAGGCCUGGCUCCACCAACCUCUGAUUCAUUCUAGACUACUACCCCCCAUUUAGCAUCCAUACCCUCUCAUUUAGCCAUGGAGCAUGCGGUGACCCAUGUCCUCUUCCACAAACAGUAUGCGAUGCUUCUUUUUCCACCUUCUGAGAGACUCAGUUUCCUUAUCCUCUAGACCUCAGUUUAAGCAUCACUUCUCAAGGAGGCCUUUCCAGACUCCACUCCACCCCCAGGUUACCUCCAGACCUGUGAUGCCCUCCUCUGCCCUCACACUCUGCCUUUUUAAGACAUCUUCAUGCAUAUAAUUAUUUAUUGAAUGUCUGUCUCCCCCUUGGAGGUCCAUAAGGGUAGCAAGCAGGUCUGAGUGGUUUCCCCGCUGUAUUCCUGACGGAACAUGUGGAAUCUGGAGGAUGUCCAACAAAUAAGUCUAAAAUAAUGAAUGAGUGAGAGAUUGAUUAGCAAUGUCUACUAGGGGCAGGAGUAUAGGAAGUGGCCAAGUAUAUGUCAGGUGUUUUCUCCCCCUCUUAAUCCCCAAGUAAUCUCUAAAUUUCCAUUUGGCUCUGAGUUUAUCAUGUUCACGGUAUUAGGAAUGUGAAAGUACCUAAGGUGUAAACUGCAUUAAAAAAAAUAAAAGAGGAGGAGGAGGAGGAGGGAGAAGAAGAAGAAGAAGAAGAAGAAGAAGAAGAAGAAGAAGAAGAAGAAGAAGAAGAAGAAGAAGAAGAGGAGAAGAAGAAGAAGGAGAAGAAGGAGGAGGAGGAGAAGAAGAAAAGAAGAAGAAAUGAUUUUCAUUAGCGUCUUCUCCUUCCAACUAGAAAACUCCUCUGAGCAGAGCCCCUAAUUUAGUCAUCAUUCACUGCUAAAGUCCCCAGAGGGCGAACUAUGACUUUCGAACAGUCCAGAGAAGCUGGGCAAAAUCAGAAAGGCCCUCCCAGGACUUUCAAUACAUUUCCCUAAAACAGAGAACUUUCCUGUGUCUCUGAAAGUUUUCAUAAUUUAAAAAAAAAUUUUUUUUUUGGACAACAACAAAAAAACCCCUUCGCGCUCUGGUGCACGGGGAGCCGUGGGGGUGACCAGCCAGCCUCCAGCUCGGGGCCCCAGGGAAUGCGGCCGCGGGGAACCAGUCCCCGCCCCGCCCCGAGACCCAGCGCGGGGAUGGCGGCGCUCCUGCCAGAAGCCGAGGGUGUGUUUUAAAAGUUUGCACCUUUCCGAGGAGAGGAAUACAGGAUUUCAACCAAGCUAGCAAAUGUUUCUCUUCUAAAAGGCUCUUCCAUGAGAACAGAGACCUUUCCAGUCCUGCUCAUUGCCUGAUUUUCAGUUCCUGGAACUCGGCCUGGUACAGGGCAGGUCCUCCGUAACUACUCGGAUAACUGAAUGGAGGGUGGAGGGCGUGGCCUUUAGCCGGGCUGCGCUCUCCCCGGCUCUCAGGAAUCCCCGCAGUGUCAUUCUCCCACUUCUCUCCAGCGACCCCUUUCGCAUUAUCUCCCUGCCUAAAAUUAUUCAGUGGCUCCCCAUCUCUGGAAAGCUAAAGUCAAUCGAAAACCCUCUGCGGGGGCACCUGGGUGGCUCAGUGGUUGAACAUCUGCCUUUGGCUCAGGCCCUGAUCCCGGGAUGAGUCCUGCAUCAGGCCUAUGUCCAAAGGGAGCCUGCUUCUCCCUCCUGCCUAUGUCUCUGCCUCUCUCUGGGUGUCUCUCAAGAAGAAAUAAAAUAAAAUCUUAAAAAAAAAAAAAAAAGGAAAACCCAUAGUCAACCUAUCCUUUCUCAUUUGCUAAAGCUAUUAUUUAUUUGUUUGUUUGUUUGUUUUAUUGUUCAGCGGUAUCAAAAAUAGCUUCCUCAUUAUAGAAAACGUGCUUCCUCGCACCUGUGUGCCCUCCCCCACCUGUUUCUCUUCUACCUGGCCAGCUCCUACUCCUUCCCUAUUGAAGCAUGUAACCUCAAGGAAGCCCUCCACCGCUCACCUAAGCGGACUUCUAAGUCCCCACCCCCAAACCCACCACCCAUUCUGUCCCAUUAGCCUGUCACACAGUACUGUUACUUUCUGUUUACCGCUCAGUCUCCCUUGAGAACAGAUGCUUUUCUUUUUCUCUAUGGAUACUAGGCACCUAGUUCAGCAAUAGUAGAUGUUAAGAAAAGAUCAUAUUUGUCGACUAAAUGUUGAAAAGUGCCCCCUUGGAGAGUGACUAUAUCAAUCAUUGUGAGUAACGGUCCCCUAGGUAUUCACAGAAAGACUUGCAAUUAUGUAAUAACAGAAACUUAACGUUUAUUGGGUCCCAAAUAGGUACCAAAUACUGUAUCAAGUGGUUUUCAUUUCUUCUUUAAUCCCCACAACAAAACUGCGAGGUAGAUAUUAUCACUUUCAUUUUACUGGUGAAAGAACUAAAGCUCAAAGAAGGUGAAAUAAGUGCACAAAUGUACACAAUUAGUACUUGGUCUUUUAUCAAAAGUGUUAGAAUUUCACCCCUCAUGUACAUGGUCAGCUAAAGGGUUUUGCAAUAUUAUGUGGGGGUAGCUGAUGUUCCUAAUCAUGAGGUCUCUUAAGCACAACAUGACACAAAAGAGCCUUCUGAGUAACUAAAGAAUCAUUUUGUACCAUUGUAAUAAUCAUUAUGUCAUCAAUAUUUUAAUUUGUAUUGCUUUUAAUGCUUUCUUCUUUAUCGAAAUAUGAAUU
Long non-coding RNA from Canis lupus familiaris (dog), 4373 nucleotides. RefSeq lists it as uncharacterized. The record is from RefSeq and is a predicted model, not a curated record. The transcript is spliced from 3 exons. NCBI's taxonomy places the organism in Eukaryota, Metazoa, Chordata, Mammalia, Carnivora, Canidae.